ACUCCUACGGGAGGCAGCAGUGGGGAAUUUUGGACAAUGGGGGCAACCCUGAUCCAGCAAUGCCGCGUGAGUGAAGAAGGCCUUCGGGUUGUAAAGCUCUUUUGUCAGGGAAGAAACGGUGGUGGCGAAUAACUACUACUAAUGACGGUACCUGAAGAAUAAGCACCGGCUAACUACGUGCCAGCAGCCGCGGUAAUACGUAGGGUGCAAGCGUUAAUCGGAAUUACUGGGCGUAAAGCGUGCGCAGGCGGUUGUGUAAGUCAGAUGUGAAAUCCCCGGGCUCAACCUGGGAAUUGCAUUUGAGACUGCACGGCUAGAGUGUGUCAGAGGGGGGUAGAAUUCCACGUGUAGCAGUGAAAUGCGUAGAUAUGUGGAGGAAUACCGAUGGCGAAGGCAGCCCCCUGGGAUAACACUGACGCUCAUGCACGAAAGCGUGGGGAGCAAACAGGAUUAGAUACCCCAGUAGUCCCAU
RNAcentral lists this ribosomal RNA (472 nucleotides) under uncultured organism. RNAcentral describes it as "partial 16S ribosomal RNA". It matches the Rfam family "Bacterial small subunit ribosomal RNA", at positions 335 to 798 of the family's 1533-position model. The record is from RNAcentral.